RNAcentral lists this ribosomal RNA (678 nucleotides) under uncultured bacterium. Its description in RNAcentral is "bacterial SSU rRNA". It matches the Rfam family "Bacterial small subunit ribosomal RNA", at positions 153 to 847 of the family's 1533-position model. The record is from RNAcentral.
GAAACGACUGCUAAUACCGCAUGACGCAUAGAGGUCGCAUGAUCUUUAUGCCAAAGAUUUAUCGCUUCAAGAUGGCCUCGCGUCUGAUUAGCUGGUUGGCGGGGUAACGGCCCACCAAGGCGACGAUCAGUAGCCGGACUGAGAGGUUGAACGGCCACAUUGGGACUGAGAUACGGCCCAGACUCCUACGGGAGGCAGCAGUGGGGAAUAUUGGGCAAUGGGCGCAAGCCUGACCCAGCAACGCCGCGUGAAGGAAGAAGGCUUUCGGGUUGUAAACUUCUUUUAAGAGGGAAGAGCAGAAGACGGUACCUCUAGAAUAAGCCACGGCUAACUACGUGCCAGCAGCCGCGGUAAUACGUAGGUGGCAAGCGUUGUCCGGAUUUACUGGGUGUAAAGGGCGUGCAGCCGGGUCUGCAAGUCAGAUGUGAAAUCCAUGGGCUCAACCCAUGAACUGCAUUUGAAACUGUGGAUCUUGAGUGUCGGAGGGGCAAUCGGAAUUCCUAGUGUAGCGGUGAAAUGCGUAGAUAUUAGGAGGAACACCAGUGGCGAAGGCGGAUUGCUGGACGAUAACUGACGGUGAGGCGCGAAAGUGUGGGGAGCAAACAGGAUUAGAUACCCUGGUAGUCCACACUGUAAACGAUGAAUGCUAGGUGUGCGGGGACUGACCCCCUGCGUGCC